CUGAGCUGUCCGUCUCUAAGCGUUGUGAUUUCAUUAAUCGCUUCGGAGCGCGGGCGGUCGCGGCCGUUAAAUCUUUUAUAAGGUUGACCUCGGAUCAGGUAGGGAUACCCGCUGAACUUAAGCAUAUCAAUAAGCGGAGGAAAUCGAAUUCCCGCGGCCG
Molecule: ribosomal RNA, 160 nt
Filed under: Cercospora kikuchii
Lineage: Eukaryota; Fungi; Ascomycota; Dothideomycetes; Mycosphaerellales; Mycosphaerellaceae
Description: partial 26S ribosomal RNA
Source: RNAcentral